This 520-nucleotide ribosomal RNA is filed under the name uncultured bacterium. Its description in RNAcentral is "partial 16S ribosomal RNA". It matches the Rfam family "Bacterial small subunit ribosomal RNA", at positions 28 to 523 of the family's 1533-position model. The record is from RNAcentral.
GACGAACGCUGGCGGCGUGCUUAACACAUGCAAGUCGAACGGACUACUUUGCUUCGGUAAGGUGGUUAGUGGCGAACGGGUGAGUAACGCGUAGACAACCUACCUCUUAGAUGGGGACAACAUCGCGAAAGCGGUGCUAAUACCGAAUGAAGUGACUUUCCUGCAUGGGAGAGAUACUAAAGGUGGCCUCUAUUUAUAAGCUACCACUGAGAGAUGGGUCUGCGUCUGAUUAGCUAGUUGGCGGGGUAAUGGCCCACCAAGGCGACGAUCAGUGGGCGGUCUGAGAGGGUGAACGGCCACAUUGGGACUGGAACACGGCCCAAACUCCUACGGGAGGCAGCAGGGGGGAAUCUUCCGCAAUGGACGAAAGUCUGACGGAGCAACGCCGCGUGAGUGAAGAAGGUUUUCGGAUCGUAAAGCUCUGUUGUUUGAGACGAAUGUGCCUGUUUCAAAUAGGGAUAGGUAAUGACGGUAUUAAACGAGAAAGCCACGGCUAACUACGUGCCAGCCGCCGCAGUAA